GGAGCUGUGGCAGCGGAAAAGCUUUUUGAGCCAAAUCUUAAACGGAAUACAAUACGCUUCCUUGACACGGAAGAGGUCAGAAGUUCAAUUCUUCUACCGUCCACCA
RNAcentral lists this transfer RNA (106 nucleotides) under Cloacibacillus porcorum. Its description in RNAcentral is "tRNA-Val". The record is from RNAcentral. Lineage: Bacteria; Thermotogati; Synergistota; Synergistia; Synergistales; Synergistaceae.